UUAUAAUUUCGUAUUAAAUCGUUCUGAAUUUAUAUUUGUAAAUCAAACAUCUGUUGUUAUUAUACUCAAUGUCACUGGUUUCUUUAAUACAGACAGUUUUGUUCAGUUUAUUUUUUUUUGCUGCUUCUAGGUUAUGUUUUGCCAUUACUUUGUUUAAUUGAAACAUUAACUUAUUAAGAUAUUUUCACAGUACUUUUUUUUACUAAAUACAUUAGAAGAUAUCAAAGAUUUCUCGAACUGUUGAACAAGCCUUUUUUCACAAAAAUAUGACAACUUUCGUAAUUGUAUUCGUUCAUCUUUUUGUCCAAAAUUAUGCCUGUCGUUUUUUCGGUAAAUUGUUUUAACAUUUUGUCAUGAUUUUGUUGUUUACUGUUGAUGACUAUGUAGUAUUCGAUAGUUGCUUACAUCAUCUUUAUUUUUACUCUUUUGAUAGUUUCCUGAUUGGCAAUAAUACGUCAUCUCGCUUUUAAUGUAAAGCUUAAAUACCUAUACAUUUCGAAGUUCCUUGUGUUUGUUGUUUAUUGUUGAUGACUGUGUAGUGAUCGAUAGUUGCUUACAUCAACUUUAUAUUGACCAAUUUGUUAUGCCUGAUUGGCAAUAAUACGUCAUCUCCC
This 614-nucleotide long non-coding RNA is filed under the name Mytilus galloprovincialis (Mediterranean mussel). Lineage: Eukaryota; Metazoa; Mollusca; Bivalvia; Mytilida; Mytilidae. The record is from RNAcentral.